This 789-nucleotide ribosomal RNA is filed under the name uncultured Actinobacillus sp. RNAcentral's name for it is "bacterial SSU rRNA". It matches the Rfam family "Bacterial small subunit ribosomal RNA", at positions 99 to 886 of the family's 1533-position model. The record is from RNAcentral. Lineage: Bacteria; Pseudomonadati; Pseudomonadota; Gammaproteobacteria; Pasteurellales; Pasteurellaceae.
CGGACGGGUGAGUAAUGCUUGGGAAUCUGGCUUACGGAGGGGGAUAACUACGGGAAACUGUAGCUAAUACCGCGUAAUAUCUUCGGAUUAAAGGGUGGGACUUUCGGGCCACCUGCCAUAAGAUGAGCCCAAGUGGGAUUAGGUAGUUGGUGGGGUAAAGGCCUACCAAGCCGACGAUCUCUAGCUGGUCUGAGAGGAUGACCAGCCACACUGGAACUGAGACACGGUCCAGACUCCUACGGGAGGCAGCAGUGGGGAAUAUUGCACAAUGGGGGGAACCCUGAUGCAGCCAUGCCGCGUGAAUGAAGAAGGCCUUCGGGUUGUAAAGUUCUUUCGGUGAUGAGGAAGGUGUUUGUUUUAAUAGAACAAGCAAUUGACGUUAGUCACAGAAGAAGCACCGGCUAACUCCGUGCCAGCAGCCGCGGUAAUACGGAGGGUGCGAGCGUUAAUCGGAAUGACUGGGCGUAAAGGGCACGCAGGCGGUGACUUAAGUGAGAUGUGAAAGCCCUGGGCUUAACCUGGGAAUUGCAUUUCAUACUGGGUCGCUAGAGUAUUUUAGGGAGGGGUAGAAUUCCACGUGUAGCGGUGAAAUGCGUAGAGAUGUGGAGGAAUACCGAAGGCGAAGGCAGCCCCUUGGGAAUAUACUGACGCUCAUGUGCGAAAGCGUGGGGAGCAAACAGGAUUAGAUACCCUGGUAGUCCACGCUGUAAACGCUGUCGAUUUGGGGAUUGGGCUUUGAGCUUGGUGCCCGUAGCUAACGUGAUAAAUCGACCGCCUGGGGAGUACGGC